This 230-nucleotide ribosomal RNA is filed under the name uncultured Leptotrichia sp. RNAcentral's name for it is "partial 16S ribosomal RNA". It matches the Rfam family "Bacterial small subunit ribosomal RNA", at positions 125 to 356 of the family's 1533-position model. The record is from RNAcentral. Lineage: Bacteria; Fusobacteriati; Fusobacteriota; Fusobacteriia; Fusobacteriales; Leptotrichiaceae.
CUUGCCCUUUAGACUGGGAUAACAGAGGGAAACUUCUGAUAAUACUGGAUAAGUUAGUAUAUCGCAUGAUAUGCAAAUGAAAGCUACGGCACUAAAGGAGAGCUUUGCGUCCUAUUAGCUAGUUGGUAAGGUAAGAGCUUACCAAGGCGAUGAUAGGUAGCCGGCCUGAGAGGGUGGACGGCCACAAGGGGACUGAGAUACGGCCCUUACUCCUACGGGAGGCAGCAGCG